GAUGAACGCUGGCGGCGUGCUUAACACAUGCAAGUCGAACGGGAAACCUUUUAAUGAAGCUUCGGCAGAUUUAGCUGGUUUCUAGUGGCGGACGGGUGAGUAACGCGUGGGUAACCUGCCUUAUACAGGGGGAUAACAGUCAGAAAUGACUGCUAAUACCGCAUAAGCGCACAGGACCGCAUGGUCCGGUGUGAAAAACUCCGGUGGUAUAAGAUGGACCCGCGUUGGAUUAGCUUGUUGGUGGGGUAACGGCUCACCAAGGCGACGAUCCAUAGCCGGCAUGAGAGGGUGAACGGCCACAUUGGGACUGAGACACGGCCCAGACUCCUACGGGAGGCAGCAGUGGGGAAUAUUGCACAAUGGGGGAAACCCUGAUGCAGCGACGCCGCGUGAAGGAAGAAGUAUCUCGGUAUGUAAACUUCUAUCAGCAGGGAAGAUAGUGACGGUACCUGACUAAGAAGCCCCGGCUAACUACGUG
RNAcentral lists this ribosomal RNA (478 nucleotides) under uncultured bacterium. RNAcentral's name for it is "partial 16S ribosomal RNA". It matches the Rfam family "Bacterial small subunit ribosomal RNA", at positions 28 to 507 of the family's 1533-position model. The record is from RNAcentral.